Molecule: transfer RNA, 70 nt
Filed under: Symploce macroptera
Lineage: Eukaryota; Metazoa; Arthropoda; Insecta; Blattodea; Blattellidae
Description: tRNA-Val
Source: RNAcentral
CAGGUUAAUCUUAUUAGGUAGGAAUUUCAUUUACAUUGAAGUAUUAAUCGUGCGAAUCGAUAUAACUUGA